This 253-nucleotide ribosomal RNA is filed under the name uncultured bacterium. RNAcentral's name for it is "partial 16S ribosomal RNA". It matches the Rfam family "Bacterial small subunit ribosomal RNA", at positions 524 to 776 of the family's 1533-position model. The record is from RNAcentral.
UACGUAGGGGGCAAGCGUUGUCCGGAUUUAUUGGGCGUAAAGAGCGUGUAGGCGGUUAGGUAGGUCCGUUGUGAAAACUCGAGGCUCAACCUCGAGACGCCGAUGGAAACCAUCUGACUAGAGUCCGGAAGAGGAGAGUGGAAUUCCUGGUGUAGCGGUGAAAUGCGCAGAUAUCAGGAGGAACACCGGUGGCGAAGGCGGGUCUCUGGGCAGUAACUGACGUUGAGGAGCGAAAGCGUGGGGAGCGAACAGG